Anolis carolinensis (green anole) is the source of this 1123-nucleotide long non-coding RNA. The record is from Ensembl. NCBI's taxonomy places the organism in Eukaryota, Metazoa, Chordata, Lepidosauria, Squamata, Anolidae.
AUGGCCCAGGAAAAACCUUCCCAACGCUUCUCACCAAACAUCGAAAGCCUGGAACAAAGUCUCUGGGGGGCCGUGACUGACUUAAAAGGGUCUCCAAACAAAAUGAAGAGAACAACAACCAAGCCUUUAAUGGAGGAAUGGCAAGAAGUAACAUCUCCAGGUUUCUUGAACAUAAUGCCUAUCAGUUUCAGUCACCAUGCCCAAUGUUCUGCACAGCCGGAUAUCUGGAGAUCCCUAUGUCCCCAGUCAACUCUGUGUUGGCUGUGCCCAGCAUAGAAGAACCCGUGUAGGUACAGAACAUGAAUUGUGUAAGAGCUUGCAAAUGCAAAGGAAUCGAGUUUUGUUGUUGAGCCGGCAUUGUCCGUAGACACCUCCAAGGUCAUGUGGCCGGCAUGACUGCAUGGAGCGCUGUUACCUUGCUACCAGAGCAGAACCUAUUGAUCUACUCACAUUUGCAUGUUUUCGAACUGCGGGGUUGGAAGAAGCUGGAGCUAACAGCAGGAGCUCACUCAGGUCCCCAGAUUUGAACUACUGACCUUUUGGUCAGCAAGUUCAGUGGCUCAGCAGUUUAACCCACUGUGUCACCGGGGGAUCCCCAAGCUUUACUCCCAUGGCAUCUUUAAGAGUAACAGAAAUUUUAGUAUGCUCUUUGAUGAAUUACAGUCCACUUUCUCACAUGCAAAAAGUCAUCCUAAAACAUCAGGUACAGAAUAUAAAUACAGGCUGGAUCUACACCACCAUAUACAGUAAUACAGUUUGGAACUGCAUUAUAUGGUCAGUGUAGACCAGGCAUGGGCAAACUUCGGCCCUCCAGGUGUUUUGGACUUCAACGGGCCGAAGUUAUAGCAAUAUAGAUGCAACCAAAGUAUGCAUAGAGUAUGCAAAAUGAGAGUAUUUCUUCCAAACAAAAUGCAAGUGAAGUGUUGGCACAACCUGGCAGUUGACAAAUGAACUAGUCCACCAAUUUUAUUCUAGGCUCAAAUAUGAAGUGUCGCCUGCAUACAAGCUCAGUUACAAAUAGUAUUCACGUGCCCUUUCGUGCUAAAUAGUUCCACUUUAUAUCUGCCACUCCUAUAGAAUCCUUGAAUUUAUCAUUUCAGGAAGAGUAUUUAGGAUUCUCAGC